GAUGAACGCUGGCGGCGUGCCUAAUACAUGCAAGUCGAGCGAACAGAUGAGGAGCUUGCUCCUCUGACGUUAGCGGCGGACGGGUGAGUAACACGUGGAUAACCUACCUAUAAGACUGGGAUAACUUCGGGAAACCGGAGCUAAUACCGGAUAAUAUAUUGAACCGCAUGGUUCAAUAGUGAAAGACGGUUUUGCUGUCACUUAUAGAUGGAUCCGCGCCGCAUUAGCUAGUUGGUAAGGUAACGGCUUACCAAGGCAACGAUGCGUAGCCGACCUGAGAGGGUGAUCGGCAACACUGGAACUGGGACACGGUCCAGACUCCUACGGGAGGCAGCAGUAGGGAAUCUUCCGCAAUGGGCGAAAGCCUGACGGAGCAACGCCGCGUGAGUGAUGAAGGUCUUCGGAUCGUAAAACUCUGUUAUUAGGGAAGAACAAAUGUGUAAGUAACUAUGCACGUCUUGACGGUACCUAAUCAGAAAGCCACGGCUAACUACGUG
Molecule: ribosomal RNA, 497 nt
Filed under: uncultured bacterium
Lineage: Bacteria
Description: partial 16S ribosomal RNA
Rfam family: Bacterial small subunit ribosomal RNA
Source: RNAcentral